GUUGUGAGGUUAAGCGACUAAGCGUACACGGUGGAUGCCCUGGCAGUCAGAGGCGAUGAAGGACGUGCUAAUCUGCGAUAAGCGUCGGUAAGGUGAUAUGAACCGUUAUAACCGGCGAUUUCCGAAUGGGGAAACCCAGUGUGAUUCGUCACACUAUCAUUAACUGAAUCCAUAGGUUAAUGAGGCGAACCGGGGGAACUGAAACAUCUAAGUACCCCGAGGAAAAGAAAUCAACCGAGAUUCCCCCAGUAGCGGCGAGCGAACGGGGAGCAGCCCAGAGCCUGAAUCAGUGUGUGUGUUAGUGGAAGCGUCUGGAAAGGCGUGCGAUACAGGGUGACAGCCCCGUACACAAAAAUGCACAUACUGUGAGCUCGAUGAGUAGGGCGGGACACGUGGUAUCCUGUCUGAAUAUGGGGGGACCAUCCUCCAAGGCUAAAUACUCCUGACUGACCGAUAGUGAACCAGUACCGUGAGGGAAAGGCGAAAAGAACCCCGGCGAGGGGAGUGAAAAAGAACCUGAAACCGUGUACGUACAAGCAGUGGGAGCACGCUUAGGCGUGUGACUGCGUACCUUUUGUAUAAUGGGUCAGCGACUUAUAUUCUGUAGCAAGGUUAACCGAAUAGGGGAGCCGAAGGGAAACCGAGUCUUAACUGGGCGUUAAGUUGCAGGGUAUAGACCCGAAACCCGGUGAUCUAGCCAUGGGCAGGUUGAAGGUUGGGUAACACUAACUGGAGGACCGAACCGACUAAUGUUGAAAAAUUAGCGGAUGACUUGUGGCUGGGGGUGAAAGGCCAAUCAAACCGGGAGAUAGCUGGUUCUCCCCGAAAGCUAUUUAGGUAGCGCCUCGUGAAUUCAUCUCCGGGGGUAGAGCACUGUUUCGGCAAGGGGGUCAUCCCGACUUACCAACCCGAUGCAAACUGCGAAUACCGGAGAAUGUUAUUACGGGAGACACACGGCGGGUGCUAACGUCCGUCGUGAAGAGGGAAACAACCCAGACCGCCAGCUAAGGUCCCAAAGUCAUGGUUAAGUGGGAAACGAUGUGGGAAGGCCCAGACAGCCAGGAUGUUGGCUUAGAAGCAGCCAUCAUUUAAAGAAAGCGUAAUAGCUCACUGGUCGAGUCGGCCUGCGCGGAAGAUGUAACGGGGCUAAACCAUGCACCGAAGCUGCGGCAGCGACGCUUAUGCGUUGUUGGGUAGGGGAGCGUUCUGUAAGCCUGUGAAGGUGUGCUGUGAGGUAUGCUGGAGGUAUCAGAAGUGCGAAUGCUGACAUAAGUAACGAUAAAGCGGGUGAAAAGCCCGCUCGCCGGAAGACCAAGGGUUCCUGUCCAACGUUAAUCGGGGCAGGGUGAGUCGACCCCUAAGGCGAGGCCGAAAGGCGUAGUCGAUGGGAAACAGGUUAAUAUUCCUGUACUUGGUGUUACUGCGAAGGGGGGACGGAGAAGGCUAUGUUGGCCGGGCGACGGUUGUCCCGGUUUAAGCGUGUAGGCUGGUUUUCCAGGCAAAUCCGGAAAAUCAAGGCCGAGGCGUGAUGACGAGGCACUACGGUGCUGAAGCAACAAAUGCCCUGCUUCCAGGAAAAGCCUCUAAGCAUCAGGUAACAUCAAAUCGUACCCCAAACCGACACAGGUGGUCAGGUAGAGAAUACCAAGGCGCUUGAGAGAACUCGGGUGAAGGAACUAGGCAAAAUGGUGCCGUAACUUCGGGAGAA
This 1708-nucleotide ribosomal RNA is filed under the name Shigella flexneri. RNAcentral's name for it is "partial 23S ribosomal RNA". It matches the Rfam family "Bacterial large subunit ribosomal RNA", at positions 1 to 1744 of the family's 2925-position model. The record is from RNAcentral. Lineage: Bacteria; Pseudomonadati; Pseudomonadota; Gammaproteobacteria; Enterobacterales; Enterobacteriaceae.